CUGCCUGAUUGAAUGUCCACUCAAUUUUCGCAUUGAAUGCAAUUUAAGAUUGAAUAUCAUUUAUAAUCCUUACAAGAAACUGAAGAAGUUAAGACGUUCCUUUUAUUUACUCAUCGUCACCACCGUCACCGUUUACUUCAUCAGCGGCAACAGUUACGAUCACCAAAUCUGUUGUUCCCCAAAUUCUCAUACCCAAAGACAAAAUCUGGCAUGAAAGGUGUCAUUGCAAAUGGUCAGAAUGUUGUGAACAAGCACAUUAUCAACGGUGGUGAAAAGAUAUAGUUAGAACAUGAAUCCAAUGUCUUUAAAUCGGCUAUCGAUUGUGCUCAGUGACUAUGGUUUCUUCACAAGUACCCUGGAGGAUGCAGAGUUCAUCAUGAUUAAAGAUGACGAACAUCUCCUAAUUAUGAACUUUCAAGCGAAGCCGGCCGACAAGGAUAAGCAUAAUGUCUAAGAAAGCUGCAGCUAUGAUAUACACAAUUUCACUUGGACCUAAUCUAAAAGGUCGAGGUACUUUGAAUUGGGUUGGCUGAUAUAAUUGGUCAACCCAACACAAACCAUUUAAUAAAUGACUAACCUGAACAUGACGUAUUUAAUAAACUGGUUGGUCCGAUAUCCCGUAUAAGUUUUAGGCUUUUGUAUUUUGUUUUUAUGCUUGUAUUUAGAUUCAUGUGUGUUUAGGUAGGUUUAUGUGUGUUUAGGUAGGUUUGAUGUCUUUGACACUAAUGAAUACAUGUUCGGGCUCACAUAUUCAACCCAUCAACAUGAAAUCCUUAAACUCACCAUCCAGCAUGUGCACAACCUUGAUAGUUUUCAAUUAAACUAAAUUGUUAGCUUUGUUUGCUCUUAAGGGUUGCGGGGUAUGUAGUAUGGCCAAAUGUUGCCCUAUAUCAUUGUGUGUGGCAUAGACUUCUCAUUGUUUUUUAUUUUACACAAAUAGUUCACAAUCAAAUUGCCCAACUAAGCUGAUUAAAUUUUGACAAUAUUUAUUCAUCUGUAUGUGUAGGCAUAAGGGUUGGAAAGACAACUUUUUUUUUUUGCAAAGAACUACGAAUGAAACUCUUGAGCUUUAGGAUCUCAUUGAGAUUGUUCCUGAACCCACUGACAAGUGGAAACAUAUUGGGUCUGAUCACUUUAAUAUAUUAGAUGCUUUUUAUGCUGAGACGCAAAGGUAUGCUUACAUGUUCCAGAACCAUGUAUUUGUUACAAGAGUUAUGCAGAGAAGGAGUCAUCGAGUAGAAUUAAUACCCUCAGAUUGAUGGAGAAAAGUGUUUUCAAUGAUAGGAUGGAUGCGAGGCUUCAACCAUAUAUAAAAUC
Helianthus annuus (common sunflower) is the source of this 1317-nucleotide long non-coding RNA. RefSeq lists it as uncharacterized. Lineage: Eukaryota; Viridiplantae; Streptophyta; Magnoliopsida; Asterales; Asteraceae. The transcript is spliced from 4 exons. The record is from RefSeq and is a predicted model, not a curated record.